Molecule: unclassified non-coding RNA, 214 nt
Filed under: Enkianthus quinqueflorus
Lineage: Eukaryota; Viridiplantae; Streptophyta; Magnoliopsida; Ericales; Ericaceae
Description: partial ITS2
Source: RNAcentral
AUCGCGUCGCCCACCCACCCCGUCCCCACGGGACGGGCGUGCGGUGGGCGGAUACUGGCCCCCCGUGCACGUYCGUGCUAGGUCGGCCCAAAAAGAGAGUCCCCGACGACGGACAUCACGACGAGUGGUGGUUGCCAAACCGUUGCGUCCCGUCGUGCAUGCCGACGUUGUCGCGGGAAUGUGACCCUUAAGCGCCGCUUAGCCGGCGCCUCGA